GCAUCCCUUCUACCAAAACCCUAUCGGAAUACUCUCGAUGCAUCUAAUUGCUCUCCUCGGUCCUCCGACGGCUAAGCCCUCAGAAACCAUCAGAGGCCAUCUCGAGGACCUCGCCAGCCGUUUUAAGCCCUUAUGCAGAACUGGGCCCUCGGAGAAGACCCUUAGAGGCCGGCACGGGGCCUUCAAAGGCCGGUAUAGGCUUCUAGAUGUUCCCUGGGUUCCAUGAGGUCAGCAGGGGCCUCUUAAGGCCAUCGUUCGUAGGGCCCUGAGGCCAGCGUGGGUUCACCUGUUCGUAUGGGCCUUCAAAGGCCAGCAUGAGACCUCAGAGGUCGGAGUGAGGCCUCUGAGGACGACAUGGAGCCAUCAGGGGCCAGAGCAGGUGUCAUAACUCGAGUUGGGACCUCUUAAAGCUUAGGGCAUCAGCUCUCAACCAGCAAAGGGCCCCUAAGAGAUCGAUAUUGGCUCCGUUAGGGCGACCUGAGGCUCUUAGACCUAUACUGACUGCUGAGGCUUAAAAUGGACCAGCUUAGUCCUUAAUGACCUAAGAACCCGUGAAUCCUGUGAAUGAAAGCCGACGUGAAGCCUCCAAAGACUGCGUGGGAUCCUCAGAAAUCGACCACUUGUAGCUCUUAGAGACCGGCGUAAGGGCACUGACAAGCGUGGCUCCUCAGUUACCACUGACCAGCAUGGCCCCUAGCAGUGUGUGCAGAAGCCUGUAGACUGUAGAGCCUAGAGGUCACCAGAAAUCUCACCAAUGCUCACCAUAAGUUUUUGACAGUAACUUUUGAUGGAGACAUGAUGAUGACAGUGUGAUAAAAACAUCUGCAAUUUGCAAUGCGUUCGGCUCAGCAAAGCAGAUUUAUUUUUAUUUUAUUUGCAGCAAAGCAUGGGUUUUUCGGUCCUCUGGCCACUGUUGUCAAAUCUUUUCUUUCACUGCUAUCAUACGCCUCGCCUCGUAUUCAACGUAAUACUGCCAACAGACCUCUCUUUUGUUGCUUCUGAUAUGGUUUCCUACAUUGAGUGAAGGAAAUUUGCGCUCAUUAACUUUAACGCUGUAGAUACAAAAAGGAAAUCUUCAUCGAAUUUCGAAGGGAAGCCGAACCUGAAGAAUCGUCAAGCUUUGGUGUUCACUGUUCAGGGUGCCGAGUGGUAUAUACAGGUGCAAAAGUUCAUCAAGAAAUGGGGGGGAGUUAACAUUGCUGCCCCCCCCCCCCACCUCCGAAAGUGGGGGGGGGGGCAUGGCCCUCCGGUCGCCCCCUUUCCCCCUGUCCCCACGCCUAUGUAAAACUCAGCUCCGGUUUGUGAGAACAGAAAGGAUGCGACCUCCAGAAAAAAUGAACCUUCAGUGCACAAGGGAUUCCAGAGAAAAACUGUUCGCGUGCGCUCAUACAGGCGACGCCGUCGCCAUCACCAACAGUCUCGCGCUCGGACGCCCAUCGGAUACAGGUGUGUCGGGUCUGGGGGGGGGGGGCUUGCUACGGACGAGGGAACUCGCACACAAGAACUGAAGAGAGGACGGCGGGAAGGUACAGGCCUGUGUGUGUGUGUGGGGGGGGGGUAGUUACAGGGAAAACGUUAGUGCACAGCAACCGCCGCUUCUUAUGGUGCAUCAAAGUAAAUGCGUGGGAAACUGGUAAAAUGUUAUUGAUUUACUCAAAAUACUGAUAAUUGACCUGACCUGUGUGUUCUGGUGUUCAGAUUAAGCUAUAGAAUGUCAAGGGUGACCUGGAGCUGGCCGAGCUGGCUACGGCCGUGGUCCCGAAGGUGGGCGCCGACGGGGAGGGUGACGCGCAGGUCCACCGCCAGUGACAGAAACGUCUAAAAUUUGACCCAGUCCAAUCCCCGUGUCAGGUCGGUAUUUGACCCAGCCCCCACCCCUUGUCAGCUCGGUGUUCGACCCAGCCGUUCCUCCUGUGUCAGCUCAGUGUUUGACCCAGUACCCUGUCUCUUGUCAGAUCGGUAUUAAACCUAACUACUCCCCGUGUCAGCCUGUAUUAACCCAGCUCCACCCCUGUGUGAUGCCAGACGGAGGAGAGUGAGGCGCUGGACGAGCCUGUCUCUUGCCGUGCUGAAGACGCUGCGUCGGAAGACCGCCAGUUCCGGUUGGUGAAUCUGGCUGCUCUGACUCCGUCCAGCUGGCCGACGGGCGAGUGCCUACACAGCAGCUCGCUGGCGCCGCCGUUGCGCGCGCGCGUCCAGACGGCAGUCGGCCCGCGGGCUAGCCUCGCAGCAUCUGUAGUGGCCGUGCUGCGCGGAGGAAUGCAUCCGGGAGCUGCCGGAUGAGGCCGUCUGGAUCUGUUCGGACGGGCCGGCGGAGGAUGGUUUGGCGGCGGUGGCUCCCUGCUCCGCUUACCAGAUGGAGACGACUGGGUUAUACGGGUUCCGGCGGGCCGCUUCUGCUCCAGUGCGCGCGCGGAGCCCACCGCGCCCCCGCCCCGGUCCAAGCCGCUACCAGAUGGAGACGACUGGGACAUAUGGGUCCCGGCGGGCCGCUUCUGCUCCAGUGCGCGCGCGGAGCUCACGGCGCCCCCGCCCCGGUCCGAGUGCUACCAGGGAGAAGGCUGUUACACUUAUCAGCGCUGGUCGGGCCACUGGGGAUGAUCGGGGCAGCAUCUCCACCGGAUUGAAAGAAGGCCAACGUCCGAGUGCGCCCAGUGCAGUCAGCAGUGACACCGAAUGUCCAACAGGCCGCUGCCUGGUCUGCGGCGAAGCAGCAGCCAAUUAGGCGCACGUGUUGCUGGAGUGUCCGUGCUUUUACGGCCUCCGGCUCCGUGCGCGGGGAAACAUCGUCGGCGCGGCCCACGAUGUCGAACGCGACAACAUGGUGGCGAUCGUGGUCGCCGGCUAUGAGGCCCACAAGAGCCUUGUUUUGGCUACGGCGGCAGCUUUGGGGACACCACAACAGCUGACGGCGGCCGCGGCCCCAGAGAUGCGCACCUGCGGGCAGGGCGGCCGCUGAUCUACGUCUCAGCUGUGAGCUGAUUAUACUGAACAGACGGAGGAGACUGAGGCGCUGGACAACGAGUCUGUCUCUGGCCGUACUGAAGACGCUGCGUCGGAAGACCGUCAGUUCUGGUUGGGAAUCUGGCUGCUCUGACUUCGUCCAGCUGGCCGACGAGUGCGUGCCAAGACAGCCGCCGCCGCCGCCGCGCGCGCGCCAAGACGGCCGUCUACCGGCGCCGAUGCCGCCACGCGCACGCUAGACGCCCGUCCACUGGUGCCACCGCCCCACGCGCGCGCACAGUCGGCAGCCGCCGCGUGUGCGUGCCCGCCCAGAAUAUGCGCUCUGCCGCCGUUGACUGCGGCUCGAGAUUCAUGUUCAAGGUUUAGGCAUACACUCAUGUUAAUUGUCUACAUUCAUGAAGGUGCGUGGUGACAAAGAUGCCUCGUCUGUGGCAGCGGAUUUGCUUGUUCCGCCUCAACAUGUGCAAAGUUGUUAUGUAAACUGAUGCGCUCGGCAUUCGCCGUCCGCUCGCGCUGGUGGCGCGCGAACGAAUGACCUGGCCCUGUUCAUGCGGACCUGACGAGCGGCGGUAUGACGCAAUCACAUAGGCGGAUUACCUUUCACCGCGAAGAAAAUCAUUAUCAGCUGGCUUAAAAUUAUGCAAUUGUUUGCCCUCAGUUCGCCAGGUAAUAUCAUUCUUUGAUCAUUCAUGCUGACUUGCGUGGCUGAUAUUUGAUUAUAUAUAGUGUGAAGCGUUCCAUUUUUUUUCUUAUUUCAAAACUCAUCUGUGUAUCUUGCAACAAUAAUCAACCGAGUCUUUUAUGUUCUGCAUAAUUUGGAAGCUGAGCGAGACUUAAGCAAUACAUUUGAAUAAUUCGAACAGUCGA
Amphibalanus amphitrite is the source of this 3831-nucleotide long non-coding RNA. RefSeq lists it as uncharacterized. Lineage: Eukaryota; Metazoa; Arthropoda; Thecostraca; Balanomorpha; Balanidae. The record is from RefSeq and is a predicted model, not a curated record. The transcript is spliced from 3 exons.